GACGAACGCUGGCGGCGUGCUUAACACAUGCAAGUCGAACGGAGUGGCGAACGGGUGAGUAACACGUGGGUGACCUGCCCUGCACUUCGGGAUAAGCCUGGGAAACUGGGUCUAAUACCGGAUAGUGUGGGAUGGGCCCGCGGCCUAUCAGCUUGUGGGGGGGGUAAUGGCCUACCAAGGCGGCGCCGGGGAGCCGGCCUGAGAGGGUGGACGGGCACAUUGGGACUGGGGCACGGCCCAGACGGCUACGGGCGGCAGCAGUGGAGAAUAUUGCAGAAUGGGCGGAAGCCAGUUGCAGCGACGCCGCGUGGGGGAUGACGGCCUUUGGGUUGUAAACUCCUUUCACCGUCGACGCGGUAGAUGGAGAGGAAGCACCGGCUAACUACGUGCCAGCAGCCGCGGUAAUAC
RNAcentral lists this ribosomal RNA (408 nucleotides) under uncultured bacterium. Its description in RNAcentral is "partial 16S ribosomal RNA". It matches the Rfam family "Bacterial small subunit ribosomal RNA", at positions 28 to 526 of the family's 1533-position model. The record is from RNAcentral.